Molecule: ribosomal RNA, 719 nt
Filed under: Triticum aestivum (bread wheat)
Lineage: Eukaryota; Viridiplantae; Streptophyta; Magnoliopsida; Poales; Poaceae
Description: partial small subunit ribosomal RNA
Source: RNAcentral
CAGGAAAUUAACAUAUCACUUAAUAUGUCAUCACAUAAUAGACCUUUGCAUCAGUUCAAAACCAAAAGCUACAUCGACCAUAACAUCUUACAUAGCUACAGCUAUAUCAGUUCACAUACCUACAGCUAUCAGCUGAUCCUAAUACGUCAGUUAAGAACCAAAUACGUGCUACAGCCAUCAGUGCAUCACGGCAUCAGUACAACGAAUCAGCUUGCAUCACAUAACACCUAGCUUACACAGCCGCAUCAAAUUAACUAGAACAGGGGAAUUGGUAAGAAACAGGGCACUUCGACAACCAGCGGCCCAUCCGUCUCCGGUGCCGUCAACCCUGCCACUGUAAAUCUUGAAGUGAUGGGUGCGGGUGAGGUCAGCGCCUUCAGCUGGUAGCCACGCAUCUGGCAAAUGUUCCGCGAGGAGAGGGCUGCGGUCAAGCAUUGCAGACCUUCUGCACGAGCAUUGUAGUCCGCGUCAGCUCACAGCUCUUGCCGCCAACGACCGACACCACCAGCACCACCCCGCGGUAGUGCUUGCCCAGAGCGUCUACCGCCGGUGUGCGCGCGAGGAGCAGCCGACCAGUCUCCGGCCGGAGAUACGGCUCGCCGCAGCGCCACACUCACUGGGAAAACGAGCUGGCAAGUAGCCUUGCGGCUGAACCGAUGCCGCGCCCGACGGGCGCCUCACGGGGGACCCGCGCUGCCGCCGGCGCGGGGCAUCGAGCU